RNAcentral lists this small nuclear RNA (297 nucleotides) under Erinaceus europaeus (western European hedgehog). Its description in RNAcentral is "7SK RNA". It matches the Rfam family "7SK RNA". From Rfam's summary of the family: 7SK was discovered as an abundant small nuclear RNA in the mid-70s but a possible function has only recently been suggested. Two independent studies have found that 7SK RNA binds the CDK9/cyclin T complex (known as elongation factor P-TEFb). Lineage: Eukaryota; Metazoa; Chordata; Mammalia; Eulipotyphla; Erinaceidae. The record is from Rfam by way of RNAcentral.
GGAAGUUGGAUGUGCUGUGACACCUGUCAUCCCAUUGAUCUCCAGAGUUGAUUCCGCUGAUCUGGCUGGCUAGGCAGGUGUCCCCUUCCUCCCUCACCACUCCAUGGGCUUCCCUCCUGAAGCUGCGUGCUCCACUGAAGAGGACAGCCUUCCCGAAUAGAGAUGGACCGGUCCUUCGGUCAAGGGUAUAGGAAUAGCUGUGCUCCCCUGCUAGAACCUCCAAAUAAGCUAUCAAGGGAGAGGGUGGGAUAUGGAGUUCUGGUGGUGGGAACUGUGUGGAAUUGUCUCCCUCUUAUC